AUUGAACGCUGGCGGCAGGCCUAACACAUGCAAGUCGAGCGGAUGAAGGGUGCUUGCUCCUGGAUUCAGCGGCGGAAGGGUGAGUAAUGCCUAGGAAUCUGCCUGGCUGUGGUGGAUAAUGUCCGGAAACGGGCGCUAAUACUGCAUACGAGCAGAGGCUGAAAGAGGGGGGUGUUUGGACCGUAUGCUAUCAGAGGAGUGUAGGUGGGACUAGCUAGCUGGUGGGGUAAAGGGCUACCUAGGAGACUAUCCGUGAGUGGUCUGAGAGGAUGAUCAGUCACACUGGAGCUGAGACACGGUCCAGACUCCUACGGGAGGCCGCAGUGGGGAAUGUUGGACAGUGGGCGGAAGCCUGGUCCAGCCAUGCCGCGUGUGUGAAGAAGGUCUUCGGAUUGGAAAGCACGUUAUGUUGGGAGGAAGGGCAUUAAGUUAAUACCUUGCUGUAUUGACGUUAACAACAGAAUAAGCACCGGCUAACUUCGUG
RNAcentral lists this ribosomal RNA (484 nucleotides) under uncultured bacterium. RNAcentral's name for it is "partial 16S ribosomal RNA". It matches the Rfam family "Bacterial small subunit ribosomal RNA", at positions 30 to 507 of the family's 1533-position model. The record is from RNAcentral.